UACGGAGGAUGCGAGCGUUAUCCGGAUUUAUUGGGUUUAAAGGGUGCGUAGGCGGCUUUUUAAGUCAGCGGUGAAAUUUUGCAGCUUAACUGUAACAGUGCCGUUGAUACUGCCAGGCUAGGAUUUGGUUGCUGUGGGUGGAAUGUGUGGUGUAGCGGUGAAAUGCUUAGAUAUCACGAGGAACUCCGAUUGCGCAGGCAGCUUACUAAACUACUACUGACGCUCAGGCACGAAGGCGUGGGGAUCAAACAGGAUUAGAUAU
Molecule: ribosomal RNA, 262 nt
Filed under: uncultured prokaryote
Description: partial 16S ribosomal RNA
Rfam family: Bacterial small subunit ribosomal RNA
Source: RNAcentral